AGCAGCCGCGGUAAUUCCAGCUCCAAUAGCGUAUAUUAAAGUUGUUGCAGUUAAAAAGCUCGUAGUUGAAUUUCGGGGUCAAUAAGUUGGUCAUGCCAAUGGUAUGUACUGGCUUUAUUGAUUCCUACCUCUUGACGAACUGUGAUGCCAUUAAUUUGGUGUUGCAAGGAAUCAGGACUGUUACCUUGAAAAAUUAGAGUGUUUAAAGCAAGCUUACGCUUGAAUACAUUAGCAUGGAAUAAUGAAAUAGGACGUUUGAUCCUAUUUUGUUGGUUUCUAGGAUCGACGUAAUGAUUAAUAGGGAUAGUUGGGGGCAUUAGUAUUCAAUUGUCAGAGGUGAAAUUCUUGGAUUUAUUGAAGACUAACUACUGCGAAAGCAUUUGCCAAGGAUGUUUUCAUUAAUCAAGAACGAAAGUUAGGGGAUCGAAGACGAUCAGAUACCGUCGUAGU
This 450-nucleotide ribosomal RNA is filed under the name uncultured Glomus. RNAcentral describes it as "SSU rRNA". It matches the Rfam family "Eukaryotic small subunit ribosomal RNA", at positions 569 to 1024 of the family's 1831-position model. The record is from RNAcentral. Lineage: Eukaryota; Fungi; Glomeromycota; Glomeromycetes; Glomerales; Glomeraceae.